Molecule: ribosomal RNA, 801 nt
Filed under: uncultured soil archaeon
Lineage: Archaea
Description: bacterial SSU rRNA
Rfam family: Archaeal small subunit ribosomal RNA
Source: RNAcentral
CGUAACGCACGGCUCAGUAACACGUAGUCAACCUGCCCUGGAGACGUGGACAACCCUGGGAAACUGGGGGUGAUCCACGAUAGAUGACCUCAUCUGGAAGGAGAGAUCGUCCAAAAGGCGGCGCGAGUAUGCUUCGCGUCUCCGCUCCAGGAUGGGACUGCGGCCGAUCAGGCUGUUGGCGGGGUAAUGGCCCACCAAACCUGUAACCGGUACGGGCUUUGAGAGAAGGAGCCCGGAGAUGGACACUGAGACAAGGGUCCAGGCCCUACGGGGCGCAUCAGGCGCGAAAACUUCGCAAUGCGCGAAAGCGUGACGAGGCUAGUCCGAGUGCCUUCCGCUGAGGAGGGCUUUUCUCGGCUGUAAAUAAGCCGGGGAAUAAGGGGAGGGCAAGUCUGGUGUCAGCCGCCGCGGUAAUACCAGCUCCUCGAGUGGUCGGGACGAUUAUUGGGCCUAAAGCACCCGUAGCCGGUUCAGUAAGUCCUCUGUCAAAUCCAACCGCUCAACGGUUGGCCCGCAGGGGAUACUGCUGGACUAGGAGGCGGGAGAGGCGGACGGUACUCCGCGUGUAGGGGUAAAAUCCUAUGAUCCGCGGAAGACCACCAGUGGCGAAGGCGGUCCGCCAGAACGCGCUCGACGGUGAGGGUGAAAGCUGGGGGAGCGAACCGGAUUAGAUACCCGGGUAGUCCCAGCCGUAAACGAUGCGAGCUAGAUGAUUCGAUCGCAGUUCGCGAUCGAAGUGUCGCAGGGAAGCCGUUAAGCUCGCCGCCUGGGGAGUACGGUCGCAAGGCUGAACUUAAACCA